This is a long non-coding RNA of Gambusia affinis (western mosquitofish), 660 nucleotides long. RefSeq lists it as uncharacterized. The record is from RefSeq and is a predicted model, not a curated record. The transcript has 2 exons. Lineage: Eukaryota; Metazoa; Chordata; Actinopteri; Cyprinodontiformes; Poeciliidae.
UUCCGGGGCUCUCUGUCCUAUUGGUGGGGUUGCCUGCGCACCGUUCUACAUAUUACCACCAGUAGGCGACAGGUUUCGGAUGGAGUGCGGUGACGUCAUUAUUUUCCCCAGCUGUUCCCGAUCACCUUCAUCAGCGGAGCAGACAAAAGGAGUGGGCCGUCAGUCCAACGUCGCCUGAGUGUUGUGCCAGUCACGGUACCUCUGAGCCCCCCUUGAGCUUGUCUCAGUGUUCCUUGUUGCCUAAUUCUUCUAGUGAAUCUUUUUGUUCUUCUCCGUUGCCUUCAGGUUGCCCGAGUUUCCAGAUUCGCCUCUCUGCUGUUUGCAAAUCUCCUCUGGACUCCACGGCUGGCGGCCUUUCCACUCCUCCGUGUCUCCGUUUCACCCGAGCCUACCUGUCCGCUCCCCGCCGCACUCCUCCGUUAUCCCUGGAUCCAUUAGGGACCGAGACCCCGGACAAACUCAGUUUCCCUCCACAACUCCGCUCCAACAACGACAAUGAACCGCUGCUGCCGUUACUGUUUAUUCCCCUGGACCAGACCACUCCGACUCACUCUCUUUGAUUAUUGUGUGAUCCUUAAUAAAUCAUUUUAAACUGAUUUCACUUCUCCUGUGGUUGUGUUCUGCAUUUGGGCUAAUAUUCAACCCAACAUGACAGAACAC